AUAGCUCAAUGGUAGAGCGAUGGGCUGGAAUACGAUGUAACUUGGGUUCGAAUCCCAUU
This is a transfer RNA of Daphnia magna, 59 nucleotides long. It matches the Rfam family "tRNA", at positions 7 to 64 of the family's 71-position model. Rfam says of the family: Transfer RNA (tRNA) molecules are approximately 80 nucleotides in length. Their secondary structure includes four short double-helical elements and three loops (D, anti-codon, and T loops). Further hydrogen bonds mediate the characteristic L-shaped molecular structure. tRNAs have two regions of fundamental functional importance: the anti-codon, which is responsible for specific mRNA codon recognition, and the 3' end, to which the tRNAs corresponding amino acid is attached (by aminoacyl-tRNA synthetases). tRNAs cope with the degeneracy of the genetic code in two manners: having more than one tRNA (with a specific anti-codon) for a particular amino acid; and 'wobble' base-pairing, i.e. permitting non-standard base-pairing at the 3rd anti-codon position. The record is from Rfam. NCBI's taxonomy places the organism in Eukaryota, Metazoa, Arthropoda, Branchiopoda, Diplostraca, Daphniidae.